CUCUACACAACUCUACCGCUUCCAUACGCACUCAGCUCUAUGUUCGAAGAAACUCACAUCAACAAAAUAAUUAAUAUGUGUUCAAGUAACACUCUCAGUCUACACAGUACUUCAGUCGUGUACCAUCCGUUGUGCGGGAAGUUUAAAAUACAAAUCGUGUGAACGUUGUUUACGUUGAACUUCCUUUAUAUAUUUAAGUUUAUUAGUUUUCUUUAGUAACGUUAUUGUGUGUUAAUGUACAUUAAACGGUUGUAAAACCAAAUUCAUAAAUAAUUAUUAAAAUGAUACGUUCGUAGGACGAGCCAUAUUCGUCAGAAACAACAGUUCGUUCAAUCUAGUCGGGUCAAAGAAACUUUUAAGAAUAUUAACGUUAAGCAUUUUAUAGAACCUAACUGUUCUAUACGAAAACAACACGCUUUUUUUCUCGCACUGCUGCGUUCCAUUCAAAAACAAUGUUCAUUCGCUAUGCCUUCCUCCUGAUAUUCAACUACUUAGUUAUUUCAACAUUCGGUCAUCCAUUCAUAUUCACAUCCACCGGAAAUAAUCGAAGACAAUACACAAAAUGGACGAGCCCUGUGGAUGAAUGGAAUAUUACCAGUCUACCCAGAAGCAUAGUGCCACAUCUAAAACCUCGGAAUGGCACGCAUCAGUUGCCAAUGGUUAGACCAGAUGCCGGUGAUGAAGGUGCCGGUUUGGAACGGCUCAAAGAAUUAAAGGAAAAUAGUACAGCACGUAUGCUGUGGUAUGAAUCGUCUGAUAUCCAUUCGUUAACACAUUAUCCACCAUUCGUUGAUAAAGCACUGAAAUUGUUCAAUUUAAAACAAGUUGCGCAUGAAAUUGAAACAAGUGUAAUGUCGAAAGUAUCAUGUACUGCAUGCAAAGCAGGUGCUGGACUACUGCAACACUAUAUUCAAUCGGGAAAAACUAAAGACGAAAUCAUCAAGACGAUAUACCAGUACUGUGUGAACUUAAAGAUCCAAAGCCCACGAGUCUGUGAAGGUGUCAGUCAAUUAUUCGGAGUCGAAGUGAUCUACGUGCUUAAACGGGUUACUAUCGGUCCGGAUGAAAUUUGCAGUUUCGUUAUCGGUGAUGCAUGUGGUGACGUAUAUAAUCCGUAUCAUGAAUGGGAGGUCGAAUUUCCGCCCGUACCCAAACCGGCUGUAGUUGAUAUUCCGUUGCCGAAAGAGGGCGUACCUACUUUUAAGGUCCUUCAUCUAUCUGAUACGCACUAUGAUCCGUAUUAUGCCGAAGGAUCGAAUGCUGAUUGUAAUGAACCUUUGUGUUGCCGCUUAACGAAUGGCAGGCCAUUGACUCCCAAUAAUGCUGCUGGAAAAUGGGGUGACUAUAGGAAAUGUGAUACACCCAAACGUACUGUAGAUCAUAUGCUGGACCAUAUUGCCGACACUCAUGCGGACAUUGAUUAUAUACUUUGGACAGGUGACCUUCCACCACACGAUGUUUGGAAUCAAACGAAAGAAGAAAAUUUGAAAAUUAUUAAGGAAACCGUUAAGCAGAUGUCUGAGAAAUUUCCAGGAAUUCCAAUUUUUCCAGCAUUGGGUAACCAUGAAAGUGCUCCAGUUAAUAGUUUUCCUCCACCGUAUGUUCAACAAGUCGAUAGUUCAAUAUCAUGGCUGUAUGAUGAAUUAGAUGUCCAGUGGCGAAACUGGCUUCCUAGCAGCGUUUCCCAUACUGUGCGAAGAGGUGCUUUCUACUCGGUGUUGGUUCGACCGGGUUUUCGUAUUAUCUCUCUCAAUAUGAACUAUUGCAACAACAAAAACUGGUGGCUACUGCUCAAUUCGACCGAUCCAGCAACGGAAUUACAAUGGUUCAUUUAUGAGCUUCAGAGUGCUGAAUUUUCCAACGAAAAGGUGCACAUUAUCGGCCAUAUACCACCAGGCCACUCCGAUUGUCUGAAAGUGUGGUCGAGAAAUUAUUACCGAAUCAUAUCAAGGUACGAGAGUACCAUUACCGCGCAGUUCUUUGGACACACUCAUUUCGACGAGUUCGAGGUGUUCUACGAUCCAGUCAAUCUAGGACGAGCGACAAAUAUUGCUUAUAUCGGACCCAGUGUCACCCCUUACAAUGACCUCAACCCAGGAUAUAGAAUUUAUUAUGUGGAUGGAGACCAUGAUCACACGACGCGUAUGGUGAUCGACCAUGAGAAUUGGAUUAUGAAUUUGAGGGAAGCAAAUCUGUACGAUUACCCCAUUUGGUAUAAGUUGUACUCAACUCGAGUCGCCUAUGGAAUGAAGGGCCUACGUCCGUCCGAUUGGGAUGAACUUGUCAAUACAAUGACAAACAAUCCGGAAGUGUUCGAUUUGUAUUACAAGCACUACUGGAAAAACUCUCCGGUACGACCGCCAUGUGACCCGGAGUGCAAAAAGCGAACAUUGUGUGACGCAAAGAGCGGUCGCAGUCACGAUCGUAAACAUUUCUGCGAAGAAGUUGAAUCGAAAAUUGACGAAGGCUCAUCAAAUAAAGGCUGGAAGGCUUGGCUAUACCGUGGAUUUAGUGUAUCGUAUGUACUUCAGAAAAUUUUACCAUUUUUAUCAUAAAGGCUACUGACAACAUUUAAAAUGCAAUAUAUUCGCUCGGAAAUGGUAUCUGGCCCUGAUGUCUUUUAUGGAGAAAAUGAAAUUAGAUUUACCAGCAAGCACCUCCAAUACAGUAACCACCGAGACAAAUCCGAAAAGUAAUUGCUCAACUGAGGAACAGCAACUGAAAUCGAUUUUAACAAAUCAAGUUGACCCAUGCGCUUCUGACGAAUUUCUAGCCGAAAUAGGAGGUGAAAACGAGCAUCGAGAAUCAUUUACAUAUCCGAAGGAGACGGUGUCCUACGAACGAGAUCAUCAAUCUUAUCUGGUGGAUCAAUUAAAUGUCGGCUUAAAUGCUAUCCGUGUUGUGUGUCCGUGGUGUUAGGAUUGAAUUAUUGUUAACAUAAUUGUAUAUUUCGGUGAGAGGUCUCUCUGUUAAAUGUAAAUAUUUUGAUUUUUGGCUUGAAACUACUAUGGAUGUAUACAUAAUUAAAGAACCAAACGAUUCAAAGUAACCAAAGUCUCAUUGGAAUUUUCUUUUUUUUUGUUCGAAUUCCCAAUUUCAGAAUGAACGUACUGAUGUCAAUAACGAGAUUACCCAAGUAUGUAAUGGGAUAUGGAUAACAGAUGGACCACUGAAAAUGAUGUGUGCGCUUGUGGAUGGAGAAAGGAAAAUUUCGAGUAUUUAUUCGGUGUGAAAGUGAGAUUGAUUGAUAAUUGUAUUUUUGUGAUAAUUAAAUUGAGAAUAAAAAUAUGUAAAGGCAAAAGAUGCUA
Molecule: unclassified non-coding RNA, 3308 nt
Organism: Bradysia coprophila
Lineage: Eukaryota; Metazoa; Arthropoda; Insecta; Diptera; Sciaridae
Source: RefSeq, a predicted model, not a curated record